Molecule: ribosomal RNA, 253 nt
Filed under: uncultured bacterium
Lineage: Bacteria
Description: partial 16S ribosomal RNA
Rfam family: Bacterial small subunit ribosomal RNA
Source: RNAcentral
UACGGAGGGUGCGAGCGUUAAUCGGAAUUACUGGGCGUAAAGGGUGCGUAGGUGGUUUGGUAAGUUAUGUGUGAAGUCCCUGGGCUCAACCUGGGAAGGUCAUAUAAGACUGCUAGACUCGAGUAUGGGAGAGGGUAGUGGAAUUUCCGGUGUAGCGGUGAAAUGCGUAGAGAUCGGAAGGAACACCAGUGGCGAAGGCGGCUACCUGGCCUAAUACUGACACUGAGGCACGAAAGCGUGGGGAGCAAACAGG